UCCUGGUGGCUCAGAUGGUAAAGCGUCUGCCUGCAAUGCGGGAGACCCGGGUUUGAUUCCUGGGUCAGGAA
This 71-nucleotide transfer RNA is filed under the name Bos taurus (domestic cattle). It matches the Rfam family "tRNA". Rfam says of the family: Transfer RNA (tRNA) molecules are approximately 80 nucleotides in length. Lineage: Eukaryota; Metazoa; Chordata; Mammalia; Artiodactyla; Bovidae. RNAcentral also lists the same sequence under 2 other names. The record is from Rfam by way of RNAcentral.